This 253-nucleotide ribosomal RNA is filed under the name uncultured bacterium. Its description in RNAcentral is "partial 16S ribosomal RNA". It matches the Rfam family "Bacterial small subunit ribosomal RNA", at positions 524 to 776 of the family's 1533-position model. The record is from RNAcentral.
UACAGGGGGUGCAAACGUUGCUCGGAAUUAUUGGGCGUAAAGCGCGCGUAGGCGGCCACUUAAGUCGGAUGUGAAAGCCCCUGGCUCAACUGGGGAAGUGCACCCGAAACUGAAUGGCUUGAAUGCAAAAGAGGGUCGCGGAAUUCCCGGUGUAGAGGUGAAAUGCGUAGAUAUCGGAAGGAACACCAGUGGCGAAAGCGGCUUCCUGGUCCAGCACCGACGUUCAGGCACGAAAGCGUGGGGAGCAAACAGG